GGGCCAUCGCUCAACGGAUAAAAGCUACCCUGGGGAUAACAGGCUUAUCUCCCCCAAGAGUCCACAUCGACGGGGAGGUUUGGCACCUCGAUGUCGGCUCAUCGCAUCCUGGGGCUGUAGUCGGUCCCAAGGGUUGGGCUGUUCGCCCAUUAAAGCGGUACGCGAGCUGGGUUCAGAACGUCGUGAGACAGUUCGGUCCCUAUCCGUCGCGGGCGUAGGAAAUUUGAGAGGACCUGUCCUUAGUACGAGAGGACCGGGAUGGACAUACCGCUGGUGUACCAGUUGUUCCGCCAGGAGCACCGCUGGGUAGCUAUGUAUGGACGAGAUAAACGCUGAAAGCAUCUAAGUGUGAAACUCGCCUCGAGAUGAGAUUUCCCAUUUCCUUCGGGAAAGUAAGACYCCUCAGAGAUGAUGAGGUAGAUAGGAUGGAAGUGGAAGUGCCGUGAGGCAUGGAGCGGACCAUUACUAAUCGGUCGAGGACUUAACCAAG
RNAcentral lists this ribosomal RNA (490 nucleotides) under Limosilactobacillus reuteri. RNAcentral's name for it is "bacterial LSU rRNA". It matches the Rfam family "Bacterial large subunit ribosomal RNA", at positions 2439 to 2925 of the family's 2925-position model. Lineage: Bacteria; Bacillati; Bacillota; Bacilli; Lactobacillales; Lactobacillaceae. The record is from RNAcentral.